This 106-nucleotide Y RNA is filed under the name Propithecus coquereli (Coquerel's sifaka). RNAcentral describes it as "Y RNA (ENSPCOG00000008358.1)". It matches the Rfam family "Y RNA". From Rfam's summary of the family: Y RNAs are components of the Ro ribonucleoprotein particle (Ro RNP), in association with Ro60 and La proteins. The Y RNAs and Ro60 and La proteins are well conserved, but the function of the Ro RNP is not known. The record is from Rfam by way of RNAcentral. Lineage: Eukaryota; Metazoa; Chordata; Mammalia; Primates; Indriidae.
GGCUGGUCCGAGUGCAGUGGUGUUUACAACUAACUAAUUGAUCACAACCAGUUACAGAUUCCUUUGUUCCUUCUCCACUCCCACUGCUUCACUUGACUAGCCUAAA